GAAGGUAUAGCUCAGUGGUAGAGUGUGUGCUUAGCAUGCACAAGGUCCUGGCUUCAAUCCCCAGUACCCCCA
RNAcentral lists this transfer RNA (72 nucleotides) under Camelus bactrianus (Bactrian camel). It matches the Rfam family "tRNA". Rfam says of the family: Transfer RNA (tRNA) molecules are approximately 80 nucleotides in length. Their secondary structure includes four short double-helical elements and three loops (D, anti-codon, and T loops). The record is from Rfam by way of RNAcentral. Lineage: Eukaryota; Metazoa; Chordata; Mammalia; Artiodactyla; Camelidae. RNAcentral also lists the same sequence under 1 other name.